GGCCUUGUAGCUCAAGUGGUUAGAGCGUUGGCUGUACUAAAACCUUUCCCUUGCUGCGUGGUUCGAAUCCCACCGAGGCCA
RNAcentral lists this transfer RNA (81 nucleotides) under Schistocephalus solidus. It matches the Rfam family "tRNA". Rfam says of the family: Transfer RNA (tRNA) molecules are approximately 80 nucleotides in length. Their secondary structure includes four short double-helical elements and three loops (D, anti-codon, and T loops). Lineage: Eukaryota; Metazoa; Platyhelminthes; Cestoda; Diphyllobothriidea; Diphyllobothriidae. The record is from Rfam by way of RNAcentral.